Molecule: ribosomal RNA, 450 nt
Filed under: uncultured bacterium
Lineage: Bacteria
Description: partial 16S ribosomal RNA
Rfam family: Bacterial small subunit ribosomal RNA
Source: RNAcentral
CCUACGGGCGGCUGCAGUGGGGAAUUUUGGACAAUGGGGGCAACCCUGAUCCAGCCAUUCCGCGUGAGUGAAGAAGGCCUUCGGGUUGUAAAGCUCUUUCAGCAGGAACGAAACGGUGGCCCCUAAUACGGGCUACUAAUGACGGUACCUGAAGAAGAAGCACCGGCUAACUACGUGCCAGCAGCCGCGGUAAUACGUAGGGUGCGUGCGUUAAUCGGAAUUACUGGGCGCAAUGCCAGAACACGGGGUUGAAAUCCCCGGGCUUAACCUGGGAACUGCGUUUGUGACUGUGGGACUCGAGUGUGGCAGAGGGGGGUGGAAUUCCACGUGUAGCAGUGAAAUGCGUAGAGAUGUGGAGGAACACCGAUGGCGAAGGCAGCCCCCUGGGUCAACACUGACGCUCAUGCACGAAAGCGUGGGGAGCAAACAGGAUUAGAUACCCCUGUAGUC